CGGACGGGUGAGUAAUGUCUGGGAAACUGCCUGAUGGAGGGGGAUAACUACUGGAAACGGUAGCUAAUACCGCAUAACGUCGCAAGACCAAAGAGGGGGACCUUCGGGCCUCUUGCCAUCGGAUGUGCCCAGAUGGGAUUAGCUAGUAGGUGGGGUAACGGCUCACCUAGGCGACGAUCCCUAGCUGGUCUGAGGGGAUGGCCAGCCACACUGGAACUGAGACACGGUCCAG
Molecule: ribosomal RNA, 232 nt
Filed under: uncultured bacterium
Lineage: Bacteria
Description: partial 16S ribosomal RNA
Rfam family: Bacterial small subunit ribosomal RNA
Source: RNAcentral